Molecule: non-coding RNA, 66 nt
Organism: Bactrocera neohumeralis
Lineage: Eukaryota; Metazoa; Arthropoda; Insecta; Diptera; Tephritidae
Source: the annotation of a RefSeq genome assembly
AAUGAAUUGCCUGAUAAAAGGGUUACCUUGAUAGGGUAAAUAAUGCAAUCAGUAUUGCAUUCAUUA